GUAAAUAUGGACUACUUAGUAGACAAGGGGCUGUUACCAAAAGAAUGCCAAGACACAGCUGAUAUAAUUAUCUUUUUCGACGAACUGUUUCAUUCAAUGAACGGAAGUUUUAUGAUUUUUUUCUCAAAGAAGUGGCAAACAGCUACUACAACCUUUAGCACCAUUUUCGUAGCACAACCAAAUCUGGAGAAAAGCUAAAC
Molecule: unclassified non-coding RNA, 200 nt
Filed under: Melitaea cinxia (Glanville fritillary)
Lineage: Eukaryota; Metazoa; Arthropoda; Insecta; Lepidoptera; Nymphalidae
Description: misc RNA ENSMCXG00005000672.1
Source: RNAcentral